AGGUUGUAAAGUUCUUUUCUUACUGAGGAAUAAUGCUUUAAGGGAAUGUGAAGCAGAUGACGUUAAGUAAGGAAUAAGCCCCGGCUAAUUACGUGCCAGCAGCCGCGGUAACACGUAAGGGGCAAGCGUUGUUCGGAAUCAUUGGGCGUAAAGGGCGCGUAGGCGGUUUUGCAAGUCUGGUGUUAAACCCCUCGGCUUAACUGAGGAGGAGCGCUGGAAACGGUAAGACUUGAGUAGCGUAGGGGUACCUGGAAUUCCUAGUGUAGGGGUGAAAUCUGUAGAUAUUAGGAAGAACACCUGUGGCGAAGGCGAGGUACUGGGCGCAAACUGACGCUGAGGCGCGAAAGUGUGGGGAGCGAACAGGAUUAGAUACCCUGGUAGUCCACACCGUAAACGAUGUACACUAGGUGCUGGGAAGUAUUUCAGUGCCGACGCAAACGCUCCACGUGU
Molecule: ribosomal RNA, 450 nt
Filed under: uncultured spirochete
Lineage: Bacteria; Pseudomonadati; Spirochaetota; Spirochaetia; Spirochaetales
Description: bacterial SSU rRNA
Rfam family: Bacterial small subunit ribosomal RNA
Source: RNAcentral